This 83-nucleotide transfer RNA is filed under the name Candidatus Omnitrophota bacterium. RNAcentral describes it as "Candidatus Omnitrophica bacterium tRNA-Leu". It matches the Rfam family "tRNA". From Rfam's summary of the family: Transfer RNA (tRNA) molecules are approximately 80 nucleotides in length. Lineage: Bacteria; Pseudomonadati; Candidatus Omnitrophota. The record is from RNAcentral.
GCGGAAGUGGCGGAAUGGCAGACGCGCUAGGUUCAGGACCUAGUGGUAGCAAUACUAUGGGGGUUCAAGUCCCCCCUUCCGCA